GGGCCCGUAGCUCAACGGACAGAGCGACGGACUUCUAAUCCGUAGCGUGAGGGUUCGACUCCCUCCGGGCCCGCCA
RNAcentral lists this transfer RNA (76 nucleotides) under Pseudomonadota bacterium. RNAcentral's name for it is "tRNA-Arg". It matches the Rfam family "tRNA". Rfam says of the family: Transfer RNA (tRNA) molecules are approximately 80 nucleotides in length. Their secondary structure includes four short double-helical elements and three loops (D, anti-codon, and T loops). Lineage: Bacteria; Pseudomonadati; Pseudomonadota. The record is from RNAcentral. RNAcentral also lists the same sequence under 2 other names.